This 458-nucleotide long non-coding RNA is filed under the name Chinchilla lanigera (long-tailed chinchilla). Its description in RNAcentral is "lncRNA (ENSCLAG00000026595.1)". Lineage: Eukaryota; Metazoa; Chordata; Mammalia; Rodentia; Chinchillidae. The record is from RNAcentral.
CUUCUUUUUAUACCAAAUGACACUGUGAGACACUGUUGUGGUGCUGUGAAAGUAUUUCUUUUUUCUUAGGAGAAUUUUCUAGGAUCAUACUAAAAGUAUAUGAAAUCCUGGAUGCAUGGGUACUCAUACUAUGGCUCAUUGCUCUUUAAAAAGAAAAGAAGAAGAAAGAAUCACUUGUGAACUUAGGAAGAGAGAACAAAGUGACAGCCAUAGCAGAAAUAACAUUUAUAUUGUGAGAAUAUACAUUCAAGAGUUUAAAAAUAUAUUUAAUAAAGAAAUUUUAAAACAAAAACACCUGUGAAAUGAAGCCCUGCAUAUAAGAGAUAACUCAGAACCUCGUAUGUUUGGAAAAAUAUGAGUGAUUUGUAAAAAUGUAGAAGUUAAAGAACUGUAAUCAACUGGUAAGUGAUUAACAGUGUUGUCUAGUAAUGAACGUAAUUUCAGAAUAAUUUUUGCUA